ACAUGUAAAUACCUGGAGUUAUAUACCGCCUUGGACCUGGAGUUUACCUGGAGAGAGUUUCGGGGGUCAACGCCCCCGCGGCCCGGUCUGUGACCAGGCCUCCUGGUGGAUCAGCGCCUGAUCAACCAGGCUGUUGCUGCUGGCUGCACGCAAACCAACGUACGAGCCACAGCCCGGCUGAUCAGGAACUGACUUUAGGUGCUUGUCCAGUGCCAGCUUGAAGACUGCCAGGGGUCUGUUGGUAAUCCCCCUUAUGUGUGCUGGGAGGCAGUUGAACAGUCUCGGGCCCCUGACACUUAUUGUAUGGUCUCUUAACGUGCUAGUGACACCCCUGCUUUUCAUUGGGGGGAUGGUGCAUCAUCUGCCAAGUCUUUUGCUUUCGUAGUGAGUGAUUUUCGUGUGCAAGUUCGGUACUAGUCCCUCUAGGAUUUUCCAGGUGUAUAUAAUCAUGUAUCUCUCCCUCCUGCGUUCCAGGGAAUACAGGUUUAGAAACCUCAAGCGCUCCCAGUAAUUGAGGUGUUUUAUCUCCGUUAUGAGAUAAUAUGUUUAUUCUGCACUCCAUACUCAGCUUGUGGUCGGUAGUAAGAGGAAGUGCAAGGAAAAGGAAAGUGGUUCCAUAUUAUUAAAAAUAUAAGUAAAUAUUAAAGACUGAGGGGCAACAGUUCAGGUUUCAAUGUAUAUGUGAAAAUGCUCCUUCCAGAAAUAUGCUAAAUUUCGUGCUGGCUUGGAAGAAUGAGAAGUCUAUCUAAUGUAAUGAUCAACGCAAACAAAUAUACGAGAAUGUUAAACUCUAAUUUUUUUUUUUUGGGGGGGGGUAUUGUUCUCAAGUAUAAUUAAAUCUUGUAAUAACCAUACUAGUUUAUAAUGAGAAAAAUUUCUGGAUGUGAGGACUGAGGGGAGAGGCUGAUGACGUCAGUGUCAAGAAUAACAGACAGGUGUGUCCAGCUGAUGCUGUGUGAGGUGCGGGUUGGUGACUGCCAGAUGAAGCUAAAAAUACUCUUAAAACUAUGUUGCUGGUUCCUACCUCUGCCAGGGCUGCUGCAGGAGGCAUGGCCAAUACAGUAGAACUGCCACUACAGAUCUCUGCACAUGCCUAUUUGAUGAACCAUAUGGUUGAUGCAGAUGAUGAUGAUGAUGUCAGACUUCAUUUAGCUGCUUUGUGUGGUGAUGAUAAAGGCUUAAGACAGAUCACAGCAGACCCUCAGUAAUAUUCAGUGGUUGAACUAUCGUGUUCGGCCUUACAUGUCACCUCCACUGAGAUUAGCAGUUUCAGAUAUUGUUGGAAGCUGGUGCAAAUCCAGAAGGUAGCAGAAAGAAUCGCUGCUCUCCAUUGUUGAUUGCAGUCAGAGAUGGGUUUUCUGAUGGUGUGAAGGUAAGCUUCAUUUUUAUGACCUAAAAAGAAGGAUUUUUGUGGUAUAUAUUAAAUUUCUAAUUACAGUAGACCGUCAUUUAGCAUGAGUUUAUUUGGCAUGAGUCAGGUAUAGCACAAUUGAAGAAUUUGCAGCACAAUAUUAUUUAACACUUCAUAAAAUUAAUUUAACACGGUUCAGUUUGCGGGAGAGGAAAAAAUUUUGAGCCCAUGGGAGGGGAAACCUACUGCCAAUCCCGCCACCCUCACCACCCCCUCAGCCUUCAUUUCGGCUCGUAUGCGUGUAGGACGCUCUUCUGGCAGCUCGCUAUGUUUGUCUAGAUACUUAUUUUAAUUGCUAUAACUUAAAUCUGCCAAGCAAUCAUAGCACCUAGUAGGCAUACAAGUGUUUCUGAAAGUAGCAAGAAAAGGUUGAAGCGUGUAAGUCUAGGAAUUACAAAGAUAAUCGAGAUAUUAGAUAAGCUUAAGAGUGGCUCAUGUGUGGUGGAUAUAGUGAGGGCCUAUGACCUUAAUGAAGCAUCAGUUCGUGCAAUUAGAAAGAACGAGGUGAAUAUACAAGCUUGUGUAAUG
Non-coding RNA from Cherax quadricarinatus, 1939 nucleotides. Lineage: Eukaryota; Metazoa; Arthropoda; Malacostraca; Decapoda; Parastacidae. The record is from RefSeq and is a predicted model, not a curated record.